This 395-nucleotide ribosomal RNA is filed under the name uncultured bacterium. Its description in RNAcentral is "bacterial SSU rRNA". It matches the Rfam family "Bacterial small subunit ribosomal RNA", at positions 28 to 424 of the family's 1533-position model. The record is from RNAcentral.
GACGAACGCUGGCGGCGUGCUUAACACAUGCAAGUCGAGCGGUAAGGCCCUUUCGGGGGUACACGAGCGGCGAACGGGUGAGUAACACGUGGGUGACCUGCCCUUAGCUCUGGGAUAAGCCUGGGAAACUGGGUCUAAUACCGGAUAUGACUCCAUGACGCAUGUUGUGGGGUGGAAAGCCUUGUGCGGCUAGGGAUGGGCCCGCGGCCUAUCAGCUUGUUGGUGGGGUGAUGGCCUACCAAGGCGACGACGGGUAGCCGGCCUGAGAGGGCGACCGGCCACACUGGGACUGAGACACGGCCCAGACUCCUACGGGAGGCAGCAGUGGGGAAUCUUGCGCAAUGGGCGAAAGCCUGACGCAGCGACGCCGCGUGGGGAGUGACGGCCUCGUGUAC